AGGGUUCGAUUCUGGCUCAGGAUGAACGCUAGCUACAGGCUUAACACAUGCAAGUCGAGGGGCAGCAUGAAACUUAGCUUGCUAAGUUCGAUGGCGACCGGCGCACGGGUGAGUAACACGUAUCCAACCUACCGUUUACUACGGGAUAGCCUUCUGAAAAGGAGAUUAAUACCGUAUGGCAUUCUAAAGUUUCAUGACAUUAGAAUUAAAGGUUUACCGGUAAUCGAUGGGGAUGCGUUCCAUUAGAUAGUAGGCGGGGUAACGGCCCACCUAGUCAGCGAUGGAUAGGGGUUCUGAGAGGAAGGUCCCCCACAUUGGAACUGAGACACGGUCCAAACUCCUACGGGAGGCAGCAGUGAGGAAUAUUGGUCAAUGGGCGAGAGCCUGAACCAGCCAAAAGUAGCGUGAAGGAUGACUGCCCUAUGGGUUGUAAACUUCUUUUAUAAAGGAAUAAAGUGGUCCACGUGUGGAUUUUUGUAUGUACUUUAUGAAUAAGGAUCGGCUAACUCCGUGCCAGCCGCCGC
This 524-nucleotide ribosomal RNA is filed under the name uncultured bacterium. RNAcentral describes it as "bacterial SSU rRNA". It matches the Rfam family "Bacterial small subunit ribosomal RNA", at positions 8 to 518 of the family's 1533-position model. The record is from RNAcentral.